RNAcentral lists this ribosomal RNA (258 nucleotides) under uncultured bacterium. RNAcentral describes it as "partial small subunit ribosomal RNA". It matches the Rfam family "Bacterial small subunit ribosomal RNA", at positions 26 to 285 of the family's 1533-position model. The record is from RNAcentral.
AGGACGAACGCUGGCGGCGUGCCUCAUACAUGCAAGUGGAGCGACGAACCAGGAUUUAUCCUGGGGCAAAGCCGCGAACGGGUGAGUAACACGUGAGUAACCUGCCCCUAGCUUCGGGAUAGCUCCGGGAAACCGGAAUUAAUACCGGAUAUGACCACGGCCGACAUCGGCCACGGUGGAAAGAUUCAUCGGCUAGGGAUGGGCUCGCGGCCUAUCAGCUUGUUGGUGGGUAACAGCCUACCAAGGCGACGACGGGUA